This 484-nucleotide ribosomal RNA is filed under the name uncultured bacterium. Its description in RNAcentral is "partial 16S ribosomal RNA". It matches the Rfam family "Bacterial small subunit ribosomal RNA", at positions 30 to 507 of the family's 1533-position model. The record is from RNAcentral.
AUUGAACGCUGGCGGCAGGCCUAACACAUGCCAGUCGAGCGGAUGAAGGGAGCUUGCUCCUGGAUUCAGCGGCGGACGGGUGAGUAAUGCCUAGGAAUCUGCCUGGCAGUGGGGGAUAACGUCCGGAAACGGGCGCUAAUACCGCAUACGUCCUGAGGGAGAAAGUGGGGGAUCUUCGGACCUCACGCUAUCAGAUGAGCCUAGGUCGGAUUAGCUAGUUGGUGGGGUAAAGGCCUACCAAGGCGACGAUCCGUAACUGGUCUGAGAGGAUGAUCAGUCACACUGGAACUGAGACACGGUCCAGACUCCUACGGGAGGCAGCAGUGGGGAAUAUUGGACAAUGGGCGAAAGCCUGAUCCAGCCAUGCCGCGUGUGUGAAGAAGGUCUUCGGAUUGUAAAGCACUUUAAGUUGGGAGGAAGGGCAGUAAGUUAAUACCUUGCUGUUUUGACGUUACCAACAGAAUAAGCACCGGCUAACUUCGUG